GUUACUCCUACGGGAGGCAGCAGUGGGGAAUAUUGCACAAUGGGCGCAAGCCUGAUGCAGCAACGCCGCGGGAGGGAUGACGGCCUUCGGGUUGUAAACCUCUUUUAGCAGGGAAGAAGCGAGAGUGACGGUACCUGCAGAAAAAGCACCGGCUAACUACGUGCCAGCAGCCGCGGUAAUACGUAGGGUGCAAGCGUUAUCCGGAAUUAUUGGGCGUAAAGAGCUCGUAGGCGGUUUGUCGCGUCUGCUGUGAAAUUCCGAGGCUCAACCUCGGGCUUGCAGUGGGUACGGGCAGACUAGAGUGCGGUAGGGGAGAUUGGAAUUCCUGGUGUAGCGGUGGAAUGCGCAGAUAUCAGGAGGAACACCGAUGGCGAAGGCAGAUCUCUGGGCCGUAACUGACGCUGAGGAGCGAAAGGGUGGGGAGCAAACAGGCUUAGAUACCCUGGUAGUCCACCCCGUAAACGUUGGGAACUAGUUGUGGGGUCCUUUCCACGGAUUCCGUGACGCAGCUAACGCAUUAAGUUCCCCGCCUGGGGAGUACGGCCGCAAGGCUAAAACUCAAAGGAAUUGACGGGGACCCGCACAAGCGGCGGAGCAUGCGGAUUAAUUCGAUGCAACGCGAAGAACCUUACCAAGGCUUGACAUACACGAGAACGGGCCAGAAUAUGUUCAACUUU
Molecule: ribosomal RNA, 677 nt
Filed under: Microbacterium sp.
Lineage: Bacteria; Bacillati; Actinomycetota; Actinomycetes; Micrococcales; Microbacteriaceae
Description: bacterial SSU rRNA
Rfam family: Bacterial small subunit ribosomal RNA
Source: RNAcentral